AUUGAACGCUGGCGGCAUGCCUUACACAUGCAAGUCGAACGGCAGCACGGGGCAACCUGGUGGCGAGUGGCGAACGGGUGAGUAAUGCAUCGGAACGUGCCAUUGAGUGGGGGAUAACGUAGCGAAAGUUGCGCUAAUACCGCAUAUUCUGUGAGCAGGAAAGUAGGGGACCGCAAGGCCUUGCGCUCUUUGAGCGGCCGAUGUCAGAUUAGCUAGUUGGUGAGGUAACGGCUUACCAAGGCGACGAUCUGUAGCGGGUCUGAGAGGAUGAUCCGCCACACUGGAACUGAGACACGGUCCAGACUCCUACGGGAGGCAGCAGUGGGGAAUUUUGGUCAAUGGGCGCAAGCCUGAACCAGCCAUCCCGCGUGCAGGAAGACGGCCCUAUGGGUUGUAAACUGCUUUUCCAGGGGGAGAAUUUUCUGUCGUGACAGGAAUUGACGGUACCCUGGGAAUAAGCAUCGGCUAACUCCGUGCCAGCAGCCGCGGU
Molecule: ribosomal RNA, 490 nt
Filed under: uncultured bacterium
Lineage: Bacteria
Description: bacterial SSU rRNA
Rfam family: Bacterial small subunit ribosomal RNA
Source: RNAcentral